GACGAACGCUGGCGGCGUGCUUAACACAUGCAAGUCGAACGGAAAGGCCCCUUUGGGGGUACUCGAGUGGCGAACGGGUGAGUAACACGUGAGUAACCUGCCCUUGACUUCGGGAUAACUUCAGGAAACUGGGGCUAAUACCGGAUAGGAAUCCUUGCUGCAUGGUGGGGGUUGGAAAGCUUCGGCGGUUUUGGAUGGACUCGCGGCUUAUCAGCUUGUUGGUGGGGUAGUGGCUUACCAAGGCUUUGACGGGUAGCCGGCCUGAGAGGGCGACCGGCCACCUUGGGACUGAGAAACGGCCCAGACUCCUACGGGAGGCAGCAGUGGGGAAUAUUGCACGAUGGGCGGAAGCCGGAUGCAGCAACGCCGCGUGCGGGAUGACGGCCUUCGGGUUGUAAACCGCGUUCAGCAGGGGCGAAGCUUGUGGUGACGGUACCUGCAGAAGAAGCACCGGCUAACUACGUG
This 465-nucleotide ribosomal RNA is filed under the name uncultured bacterium. RNAcentral's name for it is "partial 16S ribosomal RNA". It matches the Rfam family "Bacterial small subunit ribosomal RNA", at positions 28 to 507 of the family's 1533-position model. The record is from RNAcentral.